Argiope bruennichi is the source of this 1831-nucleotide RNA transcript. It is a transcript of the gene named ankyrin repeat domain-containing protein 27-like, with no coding region annotated. The transcript has 18 exons. Lineage: Eukaryota; Metazoa; Arthropoda; Arachnida; Araneae; Araneidae. The record is from RefSeq and is a predicted model, not a curated record.
CCUUCCAUUUUCCUGUUGUCUAUUCUGUUUGGCAUUUACGUGCUACUUAUGUCAUUUCACUUUUAAGUGUUUUUGAAUUUUGCUCAGGGUUAUGAAUAGGAUUUGAAAGGAUUGUUAGCUAGUUGUAUAUCUCAAUUUCUGACUGUGUUGUUCUUUCUUUGUCGAAGAAUACGCAAUGGCCCAAACUUUUGAUGAACUGGAAAACAACCCUUUUUAUACUUCAUUGGAGACCAAAUUUUCUGAAAAAUUAAAGGAAGCACAAAAGAAACUUUGGCUAAUUUGUGUUCCAUUUCACAAAAGUCUUAAAGGGGCUACAAUUACUAAAGAAUUUGUUGAUACUCAUGUUUUGAAACCUUCUCCUUUCUUUAAAAGUCAUUUUGUCACAACAGACAUCAAUAAUCCUUUGAGUUUUGAAAUUGAAGAUGACACAAUCAAAACUCAAACUGGGACCAUAAAAAUUUUAGCUGAAGAAACUGCAUAUAAUGAUGAUUAUAAGCCGUAUAGGAUAUUAAUAACUGAAACUCCACUCUGUUCAUCCAGUAUCAAGGAUGAAUUGCACUGUACUAAGAAUACUAAAAAUGGUCUUAGGUUGUCUUUAAAUGAGUGUUCUAGUUUUCUUGCGUCAUUUCCAGAGUGUUCUGAGGUUUUAAGAAUGCUCGAUAAGAAAAUACAGAUAUUUAAUACCUCAUACAUGGUUUUACCCCAAUAUUUGCAACAUGCUUCUCUUAAAUUGAAAGAGAUGUUGAAUUGGGUUGUGAAAGAGUUUUCUAGUUCUCUGCAAUAUCGGACAUCUGAAGAUUAUUCCAAAUCUGAAAUAUCAGCAGCAUUAGAAAACUAUAUCAUGUUUCAUGUGCACGAUAAAGUUUUCCCAGUGAUAAAGAAAUUCUGUAAAGAAGAAGACAGAAAAUUAUUUCAGAAACUUGUGUCACUAUAUGAAGAUCAUGUUACUGCAGAUCAGCUUGGUGUUCGCGAGUCCUUUUGUUGUGAAACUCCCAGUGCUGUAGUUGAACUUGCUUCUCUGAAUUCAAGAAAAAGUCCUGCAGAAAAACUGCAUUGUUUCAUGAAGACUCUUGAACUUCUGAAUCAAGACAUUGAACAGUUCUUAUUAGAAACUUGUUAUCCGGUUAGCAAUAAAGAUACACCAUGUUUAACAACAGAUGACCUAAUACCUUUGCUAGUGAAUGUAAUUGUUCAAGCCAGACCUCAAUAUUUCGUUAGUAAUUUAUAUUAUAUUCAAAACUUCUGUUGGGAAAACUCUCCAGUUGAUAAGAUAAGCUUUGUUUUAGUUACGUUUCAAGCUGCUAAAGAGUUUUUAAAAAGCAAAGAGUUUGAAUCUCUGAAGCCAUCCAGUAGAAAAAUUAAAAAAGAGUUGUCAUUAGAAGAAUUGAUGGAAGUAACAGUGGAAAUACAAAAUACUAGAAAGUCUUCCAGUGAAGCUAAACCAGUGCAUAUUCAGUCACCUACAGAUCAUCUUCUUGAAAAUGUAACAAAAAUGAUAGAGGCUUCAACACAGGAUCUCAGAGAUUGGAAUCACAUGAAAGUAUCUUAUUCCUGAGUAUGCUGGAUGAUAGUACUGGAGUAUGCUUCUCUCCUAAACAAGACUGUGUGGAAGGUUUUUUCCACUGCCAUGUGUAAAAUGGGUUCUUGCAGCCAGAAGAAUCCCAUAAAUUCAAGACCAAAAGAAAGUGUUGGAGAUUUCUUGUCCAGUUUAAGGCAAAGUAGUCUUGGUCUCAGCUAUGGGAAGCAAACGUGAAUCAGUUUAAAGCUAUUUAUGUAACUGUAAUUUUAUUGUUAGUUCUACAUUUUUAAAUAAAAUGUUUUUUGCAAUGUG